UCUUUUGCCAAGCAGAUAGUUAAGGCUGUAUUAGUAGCAUGCUUCUCAAAGAGCAUCAAGUAUGCAUUUUAAUUCUGUUUGCAUAAGACAAAGAAUAAUCCCUUAGGCUUCUGUAUAGUCUGCCAAAUAAAGAGUGGGGAGGUUGAGAGAUUUCAGCUAUAGUUUCUCUUGAUCAGUGUUGAAUCUUAAUAUAAUAGGAAGUGAAGUUUUCCCAAGUUCUUCCGCGGAUCACUAGUUCUGGAGGAAGACGGUAGUUAUCAUAUGAAGAAAAAAGGUUUCAGGAUCAAAUACAUCUGGAGAACUCCGGAGUAAGCUAAAUCAUACAGGUUUUUGUUUUCCUUUUAAAUUGCAGGGCUUCUAGGAGCCUUUAAUUGUAAACUUCCAGGAGGGGAAGAGAGAUGAUGGAACUACCAAACUUCUGGUGUUCUUUUUGCAAGAAAUCUUAUGAGGGACAGCUCAUCCCAAAAUCAUCUAUUUCUUUAAAAACAAGCUGAAAAUCAAACCUGUCUUAUUCAUGAUGGAAAAUUCAGCUGUUUGUCAAGGGAUCAUUUCUUCUGAGUCUAACUCUUACAGCAGUACAGUACGGGUAGGUUCAGUAUGUUAGAACAGUAUGGGUGGGUUGUUCAAUGAAGCUAUGCAUGCUAGUUCCCAUCUGUAGAAUCAUAAGCCAGAGCACAAAAAUCAGUAACAUAGUCUAACAUUAUCCCUGGAGAUUUCUCCUCAUGGGAGUAAAGAGUAUAAUGGAGACCUGAGGUGAACUAGUCAUGCCUAAAAGCCAUCUGCUUCCUAGUUCAUCAAACAGUGCCUGGGAAAGCUGCAUGUAAGGUUUUGAAGGGUGGCUGGUGGAAGAAAGGACAAGAUUUUUAUAUUUUCCAGUAUUUGCUAGAGUUAACAUCUGUGUCAAUUUAGAUCUGUUAAUAAGUAAAUUCACCAGGAAAAAUCUAUCAAUCUUGAUGAAUAAGUAUAUUUUCUCUUUGGUUUUUGGUACUGUUAGGUGAAACUUUACCAAAUGUAUUGGCAAAUUAAAUUCUUAGGAAUAUUAAAGACAAUU
RNAcentral lists this long non-coding RNA (1051 nucleotides) under Callithrix jacchus (white-tufted-ear marmoset). Its description in RNAcentral is "lncRNA (ENSCJAG00000072961.1)". Lineage: Eukaryota; Metazoa; Chordata; Mammalia; Primates; Cebidae. The record is from RNAcentral.